This 497-nucleotide ribosomal RNA is filed under the name uncultured bacterium. Its description in RNAcentral is "partial 16S ribosomal RNA". It matches the Rfam family "Bacterial small subunit ribosomal RNA", at positions 28 to 507 of the family's 1533-position model. The record is from RNAcentral.
GAUGAACGCUGGCGGCGUGCCUAAUACAUGCAAGUCGAGCGAACAGACGAGGAGCUUGCUCCUCUGACGGUAGCGGCGGACGGGUGAGUAACACGUGGAUAACCUACCUAUAAGACUGGGAUAACUUCGGGAAACCGGAGCUAAUACCGGAUAAUAUAUUGAACCGCAUGGUUCAAUAGUGAAAGACGGUUUUGCUGUCACUUAUAGAUGGAUCCGCGCCGCAUUAGCUAGUUGGUAAGGUAACGGCUUACCAAGGCAACGAUGCGUAGCCGACCUGAGAGGGUGAUCGGCCACACUGGAACUGAGACACGGUCCAGACUCCUACGGGAGGCAGCAGUAGGGAAUCUUCCGCAAAGGGCGAAAGCCUGACGGAGCAACGCCGCGUGAGUGAUGAAGGUCUUCGGAUCGUAAAACUCUGUUAUUAGGGAAGAACAAAUGUGUAAGUAACUAUGCACGUCUUGACGGUACCUAAUCAGAAAGCCACGGCUAACUACGUG